Molecule: transfer RNA, 72 nt
Filed under: Camelus bactrianus (Bactrian camel)
Lineage: Eukaryota; Metazoa; Chordata; Mammalia; Artiodactyla; Camelidae
Also listed under: 2 other names
Rfam family: tRNA
About the family: Transfer RNA (tRNA) molecules are approximately 80 nucleotides in length. Their secondary structure includes four short double-helical elements and three loops (D, anti-codon, and T loops). Further hydrogen bonds mediate the characteristic L-shaped molecular structure. tRNAs have two regions of fundamental functional importance: the anti-codon, which is responsible for specific mRNA codon recognition, and the 3' end, to which the tRNAs corresponding amino acid is attached (by aminoacyl-tRNA synthetases). tRNAs cope with the degeneracy of the genetic code in two manners: having more than one tRNA (with a specific anti-codon) for a particular amino acid; and 'wobble' base-pairing, i.e. permitting non-standard base-pairing at the 3rd anti-codon position.
Source: Rfam by way of RNAcentral
GAGGAUAUAGCUCAGUGGUUGAGUGUCUGCUUAGCAUACACAAAGUCCUGAGUUAAACCCCCAGUACCUCCA